GAUGAACGCUAGCUACAGGCUUAACACAUGCAAGUCGAGGGGAAACGAUAUUGGAAGCUUGCUUCCGAUAGGCGUCGACCGGCGCACGGGUGAGUAACGCGUAUCCAACCUGCCCAUCACUUGGGGAUAACCUUGCGAAAGUAAGACUAAUACCCAAUGACGUCUCUAGAAGACAUCUGAAAGAGAUUAAAGAUUUAUCGGUGAUGGAUGGGGAUGCGUUUGAUUAGCUUGUUGGCGGGGUAACGGCCCACCAAGGCGACGAUCAGUAGGGGUGCUGAGAGGAAGGUCCGCCACAUUGGAACUGAGACACGGUCCAAACUCCGACGAGAGGCAACAGUGAGGAAUAUUGGUCAAUGAGCGGGAGCUUGAACCAGCCAAGUAGCGUGCAGGAUGACGGCCCUAUGAGCUGUAAACUGCUUUUAUAAGGGAAUAAAGUGGGAGUCGUGACUCCUUUUGCAUGUACCUUAUGAAUAAGGACCGGCUAAUUCCGUGCCAGCAGCCGCAGUAA
RNAcentral lists this ribosomal RNA (508 nucleotides) under uncultured bacterium. Its description in RNAcentral is "partial 16S ribosomal RNA". It matches the Rfam family "Bacterial small subunit ribosomal RNA", at positions 28 to 523 of the family's 1533-position model. The record is from RNAcentral.